GACGAACGCUGGCGGCGUGCCUAAUACAUGCAAGUCGAGCGAAGCGGCGGAUGGGUGAGUAACGCGUGGGAAACCUGCACUUAAGUCUGGGAUACCAUUUGGAAACAGAUGCUAAUACCGGAUACUAAGGGAAGGAACUGCAAUGAAUUAGCUAGUUGGCAAGGUAACGGCUUACCAAGGCGAUGAUGCAUAGCUGAGUGGAGAGACUGAUCGGCCCCACUGGGACUGAGACACGGCCCAGACUCCUACGGUAGGCAGCAGUAGGGAAUCUUCCACAAUGGACGAAAGUCUGAUGGAGCCACGCCGCGUGAAUGAAGAAGGUUUUCGGAUCGUAAAGCUCUUUUGGUGGUGAAGCGUUAAUCAACGAGAAAGGCACGGCUAACUCCGUGCCAGCGGCCGCGGUAAUAC
RNAcentral lists this ribosomal RNA (408 nucleotides) under uncultured bacterium. RNAcentral's name for it is "partial 16S ribosomal RNA". It matches the Rfam family "Bacterial small subunit ribosomal RNA", at positions 28 to 526 of the family's 1533-position model. The record is from RNAcentral.